This 497-nucleotide ribosomal RNA is filed under the name uncultured bacterium. RNAcentral describes it as "partial 16S ribosomal RNA". It matches the Rfam family "Bacterial small subunit ribosomal RNA", at positions 28 to 507 of the family's 1533-position model. The record is from RNAcentral.
GAUGAACGCUGGCGGCGUGCCUAAUACAUGCAAGUCGAGCGAACAGACGAGGAGCUUGCUCCUCUGACGUUAGCGGCGGACGGGUGAGUAACACGUGGAUAACCUACCUAUAAGACUGGGAUAACUUCGGGAAACCGGAGCUAAUACCGGAUAACAUGUUGAACCGCAUGGUUCAACAGUGAAAGACGGUCUUGCUGUCACUUAUAGAUGGAUCCGCGCCGCAUUAGCUAGUUGGUAAGGUAACGGCUUACCAAGGCAACGAUGCGUAGCCGACCUGAGAGGGUGAUCGGCCACACUGGAACUGAGACACGGUCCAGACUCCUACGGGAGGGAGCAGUAGGGAAUUUUCCGCAAUGGGCGAAAGCCUGACGGAGCAACGCCGCGUGAGUGAAGGAGGUCUUCGGAUCGUAAAACUCUGUUAUUAGGGAAGAACAAAUGUGUAAGUAACUAUGCACGUCUUGACGGUACCUAAUCAGAAAGCCACGGCUAACUACGUG